UACGAAGGGGGCUAGCGUUGCUCGUAAUCACUGGGCGUAAAGGGUGCGUAGGCGGGUUUUUAAGUCAGGGGUGAAAUCCUGGAGCUCAACUCCAGAACUGCCUUUGAUACUGAAGAUCUUGAGUCCGGGAGAGGUGAGUGGAACUGCGAGUGUAGAGGUGAAAUUCGUAGAUAUUCGCAAGAACACCAGUGGCGAAGGCGGCUCACUGGCCCGGUACUGACGCUGAGGUGCGAAAGCGUGGGGAGCAAACAGG
This 253-nucleotide ribosomal RNA is filed under the name uncultured bacterium. RNAcentral describes it as "partial 16S ribosomal RNA". It matches the Rfam family "Bacterial small subunit ribosomal RNA", at positions 524 to 776 of the family's 1533-position model. The record is from RNAcentral.